GAUGAACGCUGGCGGCGUGCCUAAUACAUGCAAGUCGAGCGAACAGACGAGGAGCUUGCUCCUCUGACGUUAGCGGCGGACGGGUGAGUAACACGUGGAUAACCUACCUAUAAGACUUGGAUAACUUCGGGAAACCGGAGCUAAUACCGGAUAAUAUAUUGAACCGCAUUGUUCAAUAGUGAAAGACGGUUUUGCUGUCACUUAUAGAUGGAUCCGCGCCGCAUUAGCUAGUUGGUAAGGUAACGGCUUACCAAGGCGACGAUGCGUAGCCGACCUGAGAGGGUGAUCGGCCACACUGGAACUGAGACACGGUCCAGACUCCUACGGGAGGCAGCAGUAGGGAAUCUUCCGCAAUGGGCGAAAGCCUGACGGAGCAACGCCGCGUGAGUGAUGAAGGUCUUCGGAUCGUAAAACUCUGUUAUUAGGGAAGAACAAAUGUGUAAGUAACUAUGCACGUCUUGACGGUACCUAAUCAGAAAGCCACGGCUAACUACGUG
Molecule: ribosomal RNA, 497 nt
Filed under: uncultured bacterium
Lineage: Bacteria
Description: partial 16S ribosomal RNA
Rfam family: Bacterial small subunit ribosomal RNA
Source: RNAcentral